Molecule: ribosomal RNA, 987 nt
Filed under: uncultured bacterium
Lineage: Bacteria
Description: bacterial SSU rRNA
Rfam family: Bacterial small subunit ribosomal RNA
Source: RNAcentral
UGCAGUCGAGCGGGGACAUAUUGUGAAGCAGAAGUUUUCGGACGGAAGCGGAACGAUAUGUUCUAGCGGCGGACGGGUGAGUAACGCGUGAGCAACCUGUCCCUUACAGGGGGAUAACACAGCGAAAGUUGUACUAAUACCGCAUAAGACCACAGAGUCACAUGGCUUAGGGGUCAAAGGAGCAAUCCGGUAAGGGGUGGGCUCGCGUCCGAUUAGAUAGUUGGUGAGGUAACGGCCCACCAAGUCGACGAUCGGUAGCCGACCUGAGAGGGUGAUCGGCCACAUUGGGACUGAGACACGGCCCAAACUCCUACGGGAGGCAGCAGUGGGGAAUAUUGGGCAAUGGGGGAAACCCUGACCCAGCAACGCCGCGUGAGGGAAGAAGGUUUUCGGAUCGUAAACCUCUGUCCUAGGUGAAGAGAAAGAGACGGUAGCCUAGGAGGAAGCCCCGGCUAACUACGUGCCAGCAGCCGCAGGUCAAUACGUAGGGGGCGAGCGUUGUCCGGAAUGAUUGGGCGUAAAGGGCGCGUAGGCGGCCCGGUAAGUCUGAAGUGAAAGUCCUGCGUUCAACGUGGGAAUUGCUUUGGAUACUGUCGGGCUUGAGUGCAGGAGAGGUAAGUGGAAUUCCCAGUGUAGCGGUGAAAUGCGUAGAGAUUGGGAGGAACACCAGUGGCGAAGGCGACUUACUGGACUGUAACUGACGCUGAGGCGCGAAAGUGUGGGGAGCAAACAGGAUUAGAUACCCUGGUAGUCCACACUGUAAACGAUGAAUGCUAGGUGUAGGGGGUAUCGACCCCUUCUGUGCCGCAGUUAACACAAUAAGCAUUCCGCCUGGGGAGUACGGCCGCAAGGUUGAAACUCAAAGGAAUUGACGGGGGCCCGCACAAGCAGCGGAGCAUGUGGUUUAAUUCGAAGCAACGCGAAGAACCUUACCAGGUCUUGACAUCCCAAUAAAAGCCGUAGAGAUACGGGGUGUCUUCGGACGAU